CCCCUUCCAAUUCCGGCCACGCGUCCUUAUAUAGAGCCUGCCGGCUUCGGCCGGCUAUGGCAAUAAACGGACGAUGUAAUAAGCCCAUUGGACCCGGGGGCGGUACCCGGCGCCUCCACCAGAAUGCAGCCCGCCGGGCUGCCUUGUGGCGGGGGCGAAAUAGGAUCGACAAGGGUGUAAAGAUCGCUCUUUUGCCCGGCAUAGUACCACCGUUAUCGGGCUGACAAAGUAGUUGCAAACGACAACUAUGCGGAAGCGCGUCUCGCCGCUUAAUGCGGUGCGAUAGCUUCAAAUCAAGUCUUAGGCCGUCGCAGGUCUAAGCGGGGUUCGGAGGCACCUGGCAACAGAAGCCUCCACU
This 358-nucleotide transfer-messenger RNA is filed under the name Mesorhizobium sp. RMAD-H1. It matches the Rfam family "Alphaproteobacteria transfer-messenger RNA". Rfam says of the family: Bacterial tmRNA, also known as 10Sa RNA or SsrA, is named for its dual tRNA and mRNA-like properties. Lineage: Bacteria; Pseudomonadati; Pseudomonadota; Alphaproteobacteria; Hyphomicrobiales; Phyllobacteriaceae. The record is from RNAcentral.